This 515-nucleotide ribosomal RNA is filed under the name uncultured bacterium. RNAcentral's name for it is "bacterial SSU rRNA". It matches the Rfam family "Bacterial small subunit ribosomal RNA", at positions 501 to 1017 of the family's 1533-position model. The record is from RNAcentral.
CUACGUGCCAGCAGCCGCGGUAAUACGUAGGGUGCGAGCGUUAAUCGGAAUUACUGGGCGUAAAGCGAGCGCAGACGGUUACUUAAGCAGGAUGUGAAAUCCCCGGGCUCAACCUGGGAACUGCGUUCUGAACUGGGUGACUAGAGUGUGUCAGAGGGAGGUAGAAUUCCACGUGUAGCAGUGAAAUGCGUAGAGAUGUGGAGGAAUACCGAAGGCGAAGGCAGCCCCUUGGGAAUGUACUGACGCUCAUGUGCGAAAGCGUGGGGAGCAAACAGGAUUAGAUACCCUGGUAGUCCACGCUGUAAACGCUGUCGAUUUGGGGAUUGGGCUUUAAGCUUGGUGCCCGUAGCUAACGUGAUAAAUCGACCGCCUGGGGAGUACGGCCGCAAGGUUAAAACUCAAAUGAAUUGACGGGGGCCCGCACAAGCGGUGGAGCAUGUGGUUUAAUUCGAUGCAACGCGAAGAACCUUACCUACUCUUGACAUCCAUGGAAUCCUGUAGAGAUACGGGAGUGC